This 1798-nucleotide long non-coding RNA is filed under the name Oryctolagus cuniculus (rabbit). Its description in RNAcentral is "lncRNA (ENSOCUG00000030824.1)". The record is from RNAcentral. Lineage: Eukaryota; Metazoa; Chordata; Mammalia; Lagomorpha; Leporidae.
GGUUGCCCACUUCCAGGCCAGCUCUCUGCUGUGGCCUGGGGGUGCAGUGGAGGAUGGCCCGAGUGCUUGGGCCCUGCACCCCAUGGGAGACCAGGAGAAGCACCUGGCUCCUGCCAUCGGAUCAGCGCCGGGGCGGCCGGCCCAGCGCGCCGGCCGCGGUGGCCGUUGGAGGGUGAACCAACGGCAAAGGAAGACCUUUCUCUCUGUCUCUCUCUCACUGUCCACUCUGCCUGUAAAAAAAAAAAAAAAAAAAAAAAAAAAAAUGUAAUUUUUAGGGUGAAGAAUGGGCCUAAAUGGGAACUUUUUAGUUAUUGUUUAAUUUAUUUAUUUGAGAGCCAAAGUUACAGAGAAAGUAGGAGGAAGAGAGAGAGAAAGGUUUUCCAUCCUCUGAUUCACUCCCCAAAUGGCCACAACGGCCAGAGAUGGGCUGAUCCAAAGCCAGGAGCCUGCAGUUUCUUCCAGGUGUCCCCACGUGGGUGCAGAUGCACAAGUACUUUGGCCAUUUUGCUUCUUUCCAGGCCAUCAGCAGAGAGCUGGAUUGGAAGAGGAGCAGCCAGGACAUUAACUGGUGCCCUAAUGGGAUGCUGGCAUCACAGGCAGAUGCUUAAUCUACUAUACCACAGUGCAGACCCCAAAUUUCAAUUUUUUAGAAAGUUGUCAUGCCAAGCCACCUUGCACUUAAAAGGACUGAGAUAUUUCAGCACUAUGACAGGUCUCUGGGAUUUUAACUCUGUUCUUGGUAGACAAGAUUAUGAAGCUCUUCAGCUACAAAAACAAAGCAUUUCUUUAAGAAAAUGCUUCUCUCAAACCGCAGAGUCUUUUGCUAAGAAGAAUAAGGAACUAGAUGUGAGGUUUUCAAACAUAUUGGUCAUCAUCUGUUACCCAUCUCCAGGGCAUGACCCUUAUCUUCAUGGAUCAAGAUCAUAACUAGAUGUUAAUUUGCUACACUUCCAUUACAAGAAGCAGGAUGUAGAGAAGAAAAAGAAGUAAAGGAUGUAGCUUCCCUAUUUUAAUGAAAGCUCCAAAGCCGUAUGUCAUAUUUUUACUUUCUUUCUAUUAUUUAAACUAGUCAUAAUCACAUCAAAUUCACACAUGCAAAAUCCAGAAAAUGCAGUUUUUGUUCUGGGAAACAACAUGUACAUGUAAGAGUUGAGGGUUCUGUUAGUAUGAGAGAAACAGAAAGUAGAUAAUGGAAGGCUGAUUUGUAGGUUCUACUAAAGUGUUUACUAAAUAACAACAGUUAUUGUUUAUUUCAUAGGCUGAAAAGUAAUGUAUAUUAUAGCACAGUGAAUUAUGUAUUACAGUUUAAGCUGAUCUAAUUUUGAAAGGAGACAUUCUACAAAAUAUUCUAGAGGUGUCUGUAUAUUCUAGAUUUUUUCUCCCUCUGGUAAGCCCUGUUUCCGUCACUACUAAGAGUCUAUAACUUACAGUUUCUUUCAUAGAUAAUAUGGACAUUAAAGUUUCAUUGCAAUGUGCACAAGAUAAAUGACUUACUGUAGAGUUUCCAAAGCUUUACAGAGAGUAUGUUUGCAUGUGGUGUGUUUGUGCGUGUAUGUGUAUAGACAAAGAAAGAGAGACAGAAACAGAGAAAAACCUUUGGAAAACUAUCAAAACUAAUUUGCUUAACAUCAAAAUUGUUUAUAGCCAACGCUCUGAUGUGAAUUUGUGAUAAUAGAUAAAUUGAUAGCCAGGGGUUGCUGUGGCGUAGCAGGUACAUCCACCGUCUGCAGUGCCAGCAUCCCAUAUGGGCGCCAGUUCAAGAACUGGCUGCUCCACUUCUGAACAUCUCUCUGCUGUG